CACCAGACUCCUACGGGAGGCAGCAGUGGGGGAUAUUGCGCAAUGGGGGAAACCCUGAUGCAGCGACGCCGCGUGAGUGAAGAAGUAUUUCGGUAUGUAAAGCUCUCUCAGCAGGGACGAAAAUGACGGUACCUGAGUAAGAAGCCCCGGCUAACUACGUGCCAGCAGCCGCGGUAAUACGUAGGGGGCAAGCGUUAUCCGGAUUUACUGGGUGUAAAGGGAGCGUAGACGGCAGCACAAGUCUGGAGUGAAAUGCCGGGGCUUAACCCCGGAACUGCUUUGGAAACUGUGCAGCUAGAGUGCAGGAGAGGUAAGUGGAAUUCCUAGUGUAGCGGUGAAAUGCGUAGAUAUUAGGAGGAACACCAGUGGCAAAGGCGGCUUACUGGACUGUAACUGGCGUUGAGGCGCGAAAGCGUGGGUAGCGAACGGGAUUAGAUACCCUCGUAA
RNAcentral lists this ribosomal RNA (447 nucleotides) under uncultured bacterium. RNAcentral's name for it is "bacterial SSU rRNA". It matches the Rfam family "Bacterial small subunit ribosomal RNA", at positions 329 to 793 of the family's 1533-position model. The record is from RNAcentral.